AGAUUGAACGCUGGCGGCAUGCCUUACACAUGCAAGUCGAACGGUAACGCGGGGCAACCUGGCGACGAGUGGCGAACGGGUGAGUAAUGCAUCGGAACGUGCCCAGUAGUGGGGGAUAGCCCGGCGAAAGCCGGAUUAAUACCGCAUACGACCUACGGGUGAAAGCGGGGGACUCGCAAGAGCCUCGCGCUAUUAGAGCGGCCGAUGUCAGAUUAGCUAGUUGGUGGGGUAAAAGCCUACCAAGGCGACGAUCUGUAGCUGGUCUGAGAGGACGACCAGCCACACUGGGACUGAGACACGGCCCAGACUCCUACGGGAGGCAGCAGUGGGGAAUUUGGACAAUGGGCGCAAGCCUGAUCCAGCCAUGCCGCGUGCGGAAGAAGGCCUUCGGGUGUAAACCGCUUUGCAGGAGAACGCUCUGGCUAAUACCUUGGGUAAAUGACGGUACCUAGAAGAAUAAGCACCGGACUAACUAACGUGACCAGCAGCCGCGGUAAUCGUGA
This 503-nucleotide ribosomal RNA is filed under the name uncultured soil bacterium. RNAcentral's name for it is "bacterial SSU rRNA". It matches the Rfam family "Bacterial small subunit ribosomal RNA", at positions 26 to 529 of the family's 1533-position model. The record is from RNAcentral.